CAUUUUCAUUAUCAGAAUCUUCCUCCUUACGCCUUUCCUUAUUACUACUCCUAUCAUGUCCCUCAUCUCGAUGCCUACGACUACGACGCCUCUCCUUGUCCUCAUCAACUUCCUGCUUAGCUGCUACAUUCUCAUAAUCAGAAUCUUCAUCUUUCCGCCUUUCCUUACUCCUAUCAUGUCCCUCAUCUCGAUGCCUACGACUACUACGCCUCUCCUUAUCCUCAUCAACUUCCUGCUUGGCUGCUACAUUCUCAUAAUCAGAAUCUUCCUCCUUCCGCCUUUCCUUAUUACUACUCCUAUCAUGUCCCUCAUCUCUCUGCCUACGACUACUACGCCUCUCCUUAUCCUCAUCCACGGCUCCCCCUUUCUCCUUCUCCUUUUCCCUUUCUUUGUCAACUACAUCUCUACUACCUCUUUCUCUAUCUCUGUGCUUCUCUCUCUUCUCUUUAUCCUUGUCGCUUCUCCUCUCCUUCUCCUUCUCUCGUGAAGGCUCAUUAUCUCUGUCUCGUUCCUUGUCUUUUCCGCGAUCUCUACGAUCCUUAUCCUUUGUUCUAUCCCUUUCACGUUCAUAUUUAUCCUCCUUUCUUCGAUCUCGAGAUUUCUCC
This 605-nucleotide long non-coding RNA is filed under the name Capsicum annuum. Its description in RNAcentral is "long non-coding RNA (CANN_LNC019915)". Lineage: Eukaryota; Viridiplantae; Streptophyta; Magnoliopsida; Solanales; Solanaceae. The record is from RNAcentral.